This is a long non-coding RNA of Dioscorea cayenensis subsp. rotundata (Guinea yam), 258 nucleotides long. RefSeq lists it as uncharacterized. Lineage: Eukaryota; Viridiplantae; Streptophyta; Magnoliopsida; Dioscoreales; Dioscoreaceae. The record is from RefSeq and is a predicted model, not a curated record. The transcript has 3 exons.
CGCAUGUUUGUUACUUUUUGCCGCCUCGAUACUACUGCACAGGUCGCUGUCGCCUGUGCCAGCGAGCUGGACCAGGAGCUAGGGAUUGCGCAUCGAUGGCGCUCAUUUUCUCUGGAUUUCUCGCCCAACUGGCCCAGGUACAGGAAAGAUCUGACUGAUUUAUCACAAUAACAAAAUAGUUUGAACGACUUCAAAUUUAACUGCCUUUUUCUUGGUUGAAGACUGAAGUAAGGGAAUUGGGAGAGGAGGUUGUAUGAG